AGCAGCCGCGGUAAUUCCAGCUCCAAUAGCGUAUAUUAAAGUUGUUGCAGUUAAAAAGCUCGUAGUUGAAUUUUAGACCUGGCCGGGCGGUCCGUCUUUGGCGAGUACUGUUCUGUGUCGGGCCUUUCCUUCUGGUUAACCGGCGUGCUCUUCAUUGAGUGCGCCGUGCGAGCCAGGACCAUUACCUUGAAAAAAUUAGAGUGUUUAAAGCGGGCAUUUGCUUGAAUAGAUUAGCAUGGAAUAAUAGAAUAGGACGUUGGUUCUAUUUUGUUGGUCUAGGACCACCGUAAUGAUUAAUAGGGAUAGCUGGGGGCAUUAGUAUUCAAUUGUCAGAGGUGAAAUUCUUGGAUUUAUUGAAGACUAACUAUUGCGAAAGCAUUUGCCAAGGAUGUUUUCAUUAAUCUAAGAACGAAAGUUAAGGGGAUCGAAGACGAUCAGAUACCGUCGUAGUCUUAACCAUAAACUAUGCCGACUAGGAAUCGGGCGACGUUAUUUCAUGACUCGCUCGGCGCCUUAUGGG
RNAcentral lists this ribosomal RNA (520 nucleotides) under uncultured Archaeospora. Its description in RNAcentral is "SSU rRNA". It matches the Rfam family "Eukaryotic small subunit ribosomal RNA", at positions 569 to 1094 of the family's 1831-position model. The record is from RNAcentral. Lineage: Eukaryota; Fungi; Glomeromycota; Glomeromycetes; Archaeosporales; Archaeosporaceae.